Long non-coding RNA from Pantherophis guttatus, 398 nucleotides. RefSeq lists it as uncharacterized. The record is from RefSeq and is a predicted model, not a curated record. NCBI's taxonomy places the organism in Eukaryota, Metazoa, Chordata, Lepidosauria, Squamata, Colubridae.
UUCAUAACCUCCAGCAGCUAAGAUGCCCAGGUUAGGGAGGAGAGGUAGUUCUGACUGUUGAUGAGACUCAUAGUGAUAAAAGACUAUGAUCAUGGCAGUCUUAGACAUCUGCGAGGGUAGCAGAUCCUUUGAAAAUGGUUCAGCUCAGGCACCUAAUAGAUCCAGAACGUUUCCAGAGAGCACUUUGAACUUGCCUCAGCUAUUUGGUGGCAGUUGGAGGAAGAGCAGAAGUGAUCGAGGGAGCCCACCACCUGCUUUGAUUGGACAAUGUGACCUGUGAUACCUGGGGAGGGAAACUUUUGCUCUUUUAAUUACAUGGUAACUGCGGAAAACUUUUAGAAUUGGUUUUCACUAGCUGUGUUGAUAUGAUGUGUCCAAUAAACAUCUUCUCUGAGGAA